RNAcentral lists this unclassified non-coding RNA (334 nucleotides) under soil metagenome. Its description in RNAcentral is "partial contains 5.8S ribosomal RNA, internal transcribed spacer 2, and large subunit ribosomal RNA". The stretch from base 1 to 120 matches the Rfam family "5.8S ribosomal RNA", at positions 35 to 154 of the family's 154-position model. The record is from RNAcentral.
GAUGAAGAACGUAGCGAAAUGCGAUAAGUAAUGUGAAUUGCAGAAUUCAGUGAAUCAUCGAAUCUUUGAACGCACAUUGCGCCCGCCAGUAUUCUGGCGGGCAUGCCUGUUCGAGCGUCAUUUCAACCAUCAAGCCCCGGGCUUGUGUUGGGGACCUGCGGCUGCCGCAGGCCCUGAAAUGCAGUGGCGGGCUCGCUGUCACUCCGAGCGUAGUAGUUACAUCUCGCUCUGGGCGUGCUGCGGGUUCCGGCCGUAAAAAGCCUUAUUUACCCAAGGUUGACCUCGGAUCAGGUAGGAAGACCCGCUGAACUUAAGCAUAUCAAUAAGCGGAGGA